RNAcentral lists this ribosomal RNA (460 nucleotides) under uncultured bacterium. RNAcentral's name for it is "partial 16S ribosomal RNA". It matches the Rfam family "Bacterial small subunit ribosomal RNA", at positions 338 to 795 of the family's 1533-position model. The record is from RNAcentral.
CCUACGGGAGGCAGCAGUGAGGAAUAUUGGUCAAUGGGGGCGAGUCUGAACCAGCCAAGUAGCGUGAAGGAUGACUGCCCUACGGGUUGUAAACUUCUUUUAUAAAGGAAUAAAGUGAGGCACGUGUGCCUUUUUGUAUGUACUUCAUGAAUAAGGACCGGCUAAUUCCGUGCCAGCAGCCGCGGUAAUACGGAGGAUCCGGGCGUUAUCCGGAUUUAUUGGGUUUAAAGGGAGCGUAGGUGGGUCCUUAAGCCUGUUGGGAAAUUUUGCGGCUCAACCGUGGAACUGCAGUGCGUACUGGGAGCCUUGAGUACAGCUGAGGUAGGCGGAAUUCGUGGUGUAGCGGUGAAAUGCUUAGAUAUCACGAAGAACUCCGAUUGCGAAGGCAGCUUACCAAAGUGGCACUGACAGUGAGGCUCGAAAGUGCGGGUAUCGAACAGGAUUAGAUACCCGGGUAGUC